This 460-nucleotide ribosomal RNA is filed under the name uncultured bacterium. RNAcentral's name for it is "partial 16S ribosomal RNA". It matches the Rfam family "Bacterial small subunit ribosomal RNA", at positions 338 to 795 of the family's 1533-position model. The record is from RNAcentral.
CCUACGGGCGGCAGCAGUGAGGAAUAUUGGUCAAUGGGCGCGAGCCUGAACCAGCCAAGUAGCGUGAAGGAUGACUGCCCUACGGAUUGUAAACUUCUUUUAUAAAGGAAUAAAGUGAGGCACGUGUGCCUUUUUGUAUGUACCAUAUGAAUAAGGAUCGGCUAACUCCGUGCAAGCAGCAGCGGUAAUACGGCGGAUCCGAGCGUUAUCUGGAUUUAUUGGGUUUAAAGGGAGCGUAGGUGGAUUGUUAAGUCAGUUGUGAAAGUUUGCGGCUCAACCGUAAAAUUGCAGUUGAAACUGGGAGUCUUGAGUACAGUAGAGGUGGGCGGAAUUCGUUGUGUAGCGGUGAAAUGCUUAGAUAUCACGAAGAACUCCGAUUGCGAAGGCAGUUCACUGGACUGCAACUGACACUGAGGUUCGAAAGUGUGGGUAGCAAACAGGAUUAGAUACCCUAGUAGUC